This 253-nucleotide ribosomal RNA is filed under the name uncultured bacterium. RNAcentral's name for it is "partial 16S ribosomal RNA". It matches the Rfam family "Bacterial small subunit ribosomal RNA", at positions 524 to 776 of the family's 1533-position model. The record is from RNAcentral.
UACGUAGGGUGCGAGCGUUGUCCGGAAUUAUUGGGCGUAAAGGGCUCGUAGGCGGUGCGGUAAGUCACCUGUGAAAUCUCCUGGCUCAACUGGGAGCUUGCAGGCGAAACUGCCGUGCUGGAGUGUGGGAGAGGUGAGUGGAAUUCCCGGUGUAGCGGUGAAAUGCAUAGAUAUCGGGAGGAACACCUGUGGCGAAAGCGGCUCACUGGACCACAACUGACGCUGAGGCGCGAAAGCUAGGGGAGCAAACAGG